AUUGAAGUUAAACCGGACAUCGAACAUGCCGCGAAUUUAGCACCCAUCACAACUUCAACGUUCAAAAUAUGUUGAAAAAAAUUACCACAUGUUGAAUAUUGGCGGAGUUGAACGAUAGCGUCAAAUCUCCGCCAAUAUUAAUUAAGCUAACACAAGACAACCCCCCGGCCAAAUUCAUUCGUGUCCAGACCUCUAGAACAUAUCACAUGACGCAAGCCGAGGAUCGAAUUCGCCGCAUCUUGUCGCUGUAUUGGAGGCCGUAUAUUCACCAUAAUAUUCGCGUAUAUUCGCUUGUUUGUCUUAAAUU
This is a non-coding RNA of Paramuricea clavata, 307 nucleotides long. Lineage: Eukaryota; Metazoa; Cnidaria; Anthozoa; Malacalcyonacea; Plexauridae. The record is from the annotation of a GenBank genome assembly.